UACGGAGGAUGCAAGCGUUAUCCGGAAUGAUUGGGCGUAAAGCGUCCGCAGGUGGCUGUGUAAGUCUGCUGUCAAAGAGCGAAGCUCAACUUCGUAAGGCAGUGGAAACUACACGGCUAGAGUGCGUUCGGGGCAGAGGGAAUUCCUGGUGUAGCGGUGAAAUGCGUAGAGAUCAGGAAGAACACCGGUGGCGAAGCGCUCUGCUAGGCCGCAACUGACACUGAGGACGAAGCCAGGGAGCAAACGG
This 247-nucleotide ribosomal RNA is filed under the name uncultured bacterium. RNAcentral's name for it is "partial 16S ribosomal RNA". It matches the Rfam family "Bacterial small subunit ribosomal RNA", at positions 524 to 775 of the family's 1533-position model. The record is from RNAcentral.